UUUCCGCCAGGCAACGCUGGCGGCAUGCCUAAUACAUGCAAGUCGAGCGGACUUGAAGAAGCUUGCUUCUUUGAUGUUAGCGGCGGACGGGUGAGUAACACGUAGGCAACCUGCCCUCAAGUUUGGGACAACUACCGGAAACGGUAGCUAAUACCGAAUAGUUGUUUUCUUCGCCUGAAGAGAACUGGAAAGACGGAGCAAUCUGUCACUUGGGGAUGGGCCUGCGGCGCAUUAGCUAGUUGGUGAGGUAACGGCUCACCAAGGCGACGAUGCGUAGCCGACCUGAGAGGGUGAUCGGCCACACUGGGACUGAGACACGGCCCAGACUCCUACGGGAGGCAGCAGUAGGGAAUCUUCCGCAAUGGGCGAAAGCCUGACGGAGCAAUGCCGCGUGAGUGAUGAAGGUUUUCGGAUCGUAAAGCUCUGUCCAGGAAGAAC
RNAcentral lists this ribosomal RNA (438 nucleotides) under Paenibacillus sp. Br-Subra51. Its description in RNAcentral is "bacterial SSU rRNA". It matches the Rfam family "Bacterial small subunit ribosomal RNA", at positions 32 to 447 of the family's 1533-position model. Lineage: Bacteria; Bacillati; Bacillota; Bacilli; Caryophanales; Paenibacillaceae. The record is from RNAcentral.